CGAACGCUGGCGGCGUGCUUAACACAUGCAAGUCGACCGGGUCUGCCCUGUUUUUUGCGGGGUGGGUCAGUGGCGAACGGGUGAGUAACACGUGAGUAACCUGCCCCUCACUUCUGGAUAACCGCUUGAAAGGGUGGCUAAUACGGGGUGUUCUGGCUGUGCCGCAUGGUGUGGCUGGGAAAGAUUCACUUUUGUGGUGUUUUGGUGGGGGAUGGGCUCGCGGCCUAUCAGCUUGUUGGUGGGGUGAUGGCCUGCCAAGGCUUUGACGGGUAGCCGGCCUGAGAGGGUGGGCGGUCACACUGGGACUGAGAUACGGCCCAGACUCCUGCGGGAGGCAGCAGUGGGGGGUAUUGCACAAUGGGCGGAAGCCUGAUGCAGCGACGUCGCGUGAGGGAUGGAGGCCUUCGGGUUGUGAACCUCUUUCGCCGGUGAAGAAGGUCCUGCUCUUUGUGGUGGGGUUGACGGUAGCCGGGUUAUGAAGCGCCGGCUAACUACGUG
RNAcentral lists this ribosomal RNA (498 nucleotides) under uncultured bacterium. Its description in RNAcentral is "partial 16S ribosomal RNA". It matches the Rfam family "Bacterial small subunit ribosomal RNA", at positions 30 to 507 of the family's 1533-position model. The record is from RNAcentral.